This 305-nucleotide ribosomal RNA is filed under the name uncultured bacterium. RNAcentral describes it as "bacterial SSU rRNA". It matches the Rfam family "Bacterial small subunit ribosomal RNA", at positions 335 to 654 of the family's 1533-position model. The record is from RNAcentral.
UGACCUACGGGACGCAGCAGUCGAGAAUCAUUCACAAUGGGGGAAACCCUGAUGGUGCGACGCCGCGUGCAGGAAGAAGGUCUUCGGAUUGUAAACUGUUGUCGCAGGGGAAGAAGACAGUGACGGUACCCUGUGAGAAAGUCACGGCUAACUACGUGCCAGCAGCCGCGGUAAUACGUAGGUGACAAGCGUUGUCCGGAUUUACUGGGUGUAAAGGGCGCGUAGGCGGAUGUGCAAGUCAGUCGUGAAAUACCGGGGCUCAACCCCGGGGCUGCGAUUGAAACUGCACACCUUGAGUAUCGGAG